RNAcentral lists this long non-coding RNA (307 nucleotides) under Cucumis sativus (cucumber). RNAcentral's name for it is "long non-coding RNA (CSAT_LNC002436)". The record is from RNAcentral. Lineage: Eukaryota; Viridiplantae; Streptophyta; Magnoliopsida; Cucurbitales; Cucurbitaceae.
GCUGGUGCCUUCCUUCCUGGUGAGGUUCUCGUCGAAGUUCUUGCAGCCUUCGCUGGCUUUUCCUUAGCUUUCGGCUUGGGAGCGGCUUUAGUCUUUGCCGCAGCUUUGGGCUUCGCCACAGCACUGCUCUUCGACUUGGCUGGAGCAGCUUUGGGUUUAGGAGCAGCUUUGGGCUUGGGAGUCGCCUUAGGCUUCGGCUUUGCAGCAGCCUUCGGCUUCGCAGGAGAUUUUGCAACAGCUUUGGGCUUAGCUACGGGUUUAGACUUCGGCUUAGCAGCUACAGGCUUCUUCUUCGCAGGAGAAGCAG